This 503-nucleotide ribosomal RNA is filed under the name uncultured bacterium. RNAcentral describes it as "partial 16S ribosomal RNA". It matches the Rfam family "Bacterial small subunit ribosomal RNA", at positions 30 to 523 of the family's 1533-position model. The record is from RNAcentral.
AUUGAACGCUGGCGGCAGGCUUAACACAUGCAAGUCGAGCGGGGUGAUGGUGCUUGCACUAUCACUUAGCGGCGGACGGGUGAGUAAUGCUUAGGAAUCUGCCUAUUAGUGGGGGACAACAUCUCGAAAGGGAUGCUAAUACCGCAUACGUCCUACGGGAGAAAGCAGGGGAUCACUUGUGACCUUGCGCUAAUAGAUGAGCCUAAGUCGGAUUAGCUAGUUGGUGGGGUAAAGGCCUACCAAGGCGACGAUCUGUAGCGGGUCUGAGAGGAUGAUCCGCCACACUGGGACGGAGACACGGCCCAGACUCCGAAGGGAGGCAGCAGUGGGGAAUAUUGGACAAUGGGGGGAACCCUGAUCCAGCCAUGCCGCGUGUGUGAAGGAGGCCUUAUGGUUGUAAAGCACUUUAAGCGAGGAGGAGGCUCUUUUGGUUAAUACCCAAGAUGAGUGGACGUUACUCGCAGAAUAAGCACCGGCUAACUCUGUGCCAGCCGCCGCCGUAA